Molecule: long non-coding RNA, 9449 nt
Filed under: Gossypium raimondii (Peruvian cotton)
Lineage: Eukaryota; Viridiplantae; Streptophyta; Magnoliopsida; Malvales; Malvaceae
Description: long non-coding RNA (GRAI_LNC001933)
Source: RNAcentral
AGUUAUUUCUCUCCUGCGUGCGCCGUUUCUUCCCAAAACUCCUCCUUUUUCCUUCAUUUCGCACAGAACAGGGAAGGGCUUCGAGAGCACAUCACCCAGGUAUGGUUUCCCCUUUAUUUCUCUUUGAUUUGCGAAGAAAAGAACAAAGGAAAACAAAAGAAAAAGGAAAGAAAUCGAGGAAAAAAAGAAAAAAAACCUUCAAAUUGCUCUUUAAUUCUCUGUUUUUUUAAUAGGUUUUGAUAUCAUCCCCCUCUUCGUUCCAAAAAUAAAAAAAAGGUUGCUUUUCCCUUUUUUAUUUGUUUUAUUUGUAAGUAGAUAAAAAAUAAUAAUAAAUAACAGUAAUGGAAAUGGUGAAUAUCAACCUUUUGAUCGAUGUUUGCUCUCCGUAUUGCACUUCUCUGUUUUUUUAUUGUGAAAAAUACUUGUUUUUUAUUGAUUUCUUUCUUUUCGAUCCCUAUUACAGUAUGUUAAGAUCGCUUUUAUAGCAAUCAUGAAACAAGAAGAAAAGAAAGAAAUAAAAUAAAAAAGAAAUCUUCCGAUAUCUGCUUGAUUUGAUUUUGAGAUUUUCUUGCCAUAUCUGCUUUGCUUCUUUCCUUGUUGUGCAGGUACAAUCGGGGAUGCGGCUCGUACAGGGACUUCGGCUGCGGCGCGAAUGUGGAAAACUGCCUAGGGUUUCCCUUGUGCUGGAAACGCUGGGCCUCUGUCUUGUUUUGGGUCCGGGCCAUAUAGGCCAACUGUAAUUUGGGCCCUUGUUUUAAAAUGGGCCAUGUAUUCUGGGCCGUUUUAUUUACUUCAUGUAGGCCGGGUAAAAUUUAGGUAUUACAACUGCCCCUCUUUGCUCGUUAUCGUGUAACGAGAACGGAGCAAAGACUUUAAAAAUGCCAAAUUUUGCCCGUCGUGCUGGGUUUCGGUACUGUUCUUCUUCAAGUAGCCUCAUUCCUUCCUACUGCAUCUUUAGAGGUAUAGGAGCUAGUGCUUCAAUCUACUCCACUGCAAUGUCAGGGAGAUAAGACUUAUAGCUUCAACUUGAUCUGCUGCAAUUUAAAGAUGAAUUUGAUGCGAUCUACUCUACUGCAACUUCAGAGAGAUAAGAUCUGUUAUUUUAAUCUGCUCCGCUGUAACCUCAGGGAGAUAGGAUUAUCGACUUUAAUCUGCUCCACUGCAACCUCAGGGAGAUAAGAUUUGCCAUCUUCGAUCUGCUCUACUACUACUUAGGGAGAUAAGAUCUGUAAUUUUCAACCUGCUCCACUGCAACUUAGGGAGGCAAGGCUGGUGUCUUCAAUCUGCUUCACUGUUAGUAUAGGAAGGUAAGAUCUGCUAUCUUUAACCUGCUCCGCUACCACCGAGGGAGGUAAGGCUAGUUUCUUCAAUCUGCUUCACUGUCAGUACAAGAAGGUAAAAUCUGCUAUCUCUAACCUGCUCCGCUGCCACUGAGGGAGGCAAGGCUAGUGUCUUCGAUCUACUCCACUACUACUUAGGGAGAUAAGAUCUGCAAUUUUCAACCUGCUCCGCUGCAACCCAGGGAGGCAAGGCUAGUGUCUUUGAUCUACUUUGCUAUCGGUACAGGAAGGCAAGAUCUGCUAUUUUUAACCUGCUCCGCUGCAACCCAGGGAGGCAAGGCUAGUGUCUUCGAUCUACUUCGCUGUUAGUAUAGGAAGGCAAGAUCUGCUAUCUUCAACCUGCUCCACUACGACCUAGGGAGGCAAAGCUGGUAUCUUCUAUCUGCUUCACUGUCGGUACAGGAAGGUAAGAUCUGCUAUCUUUAACCUGCUCUACUAAAACCCAGAGAGGCAAGGCUGGUAUCUUCGAUCUGCUUCGCUCUCGAUGAAUGAAGGCAAGAUCUGCUAUCUUCAACUUGUUCCACUACAACCAAAGGAGGCAAGGCUGGUAUCUUCGAUUUGCUUCACUGUCGGUGUAGGAAGGCAAAAUCUGCUAUCUUCAACCUGCUCCACUACAACCCAGGGAGGCAAGGCUGGUAUCUUCGAUCUGCUUUGCUGUCGAUGCAGGAAGGCAAGAUCUGCUAUCUUCAACCUGCUCCACUACAACCCAGGGAGGCAAGGCUGGUAUCUUCGAUCUGCUUCGCUGUCGAUGCAGGAAGGCAAGAUCUGUUAUCUUCAACCUGCUCCACUACAACCGAGAGAGGCAAGGCUGAUAUCUUCGAUCUGCUUCGCUGUCGAUGUAGGAAGGCAAGAUCUGUUAUCUUCAACCUGCUCCACUACAACCCAGGGAGACAAGGCUUUGUGAUUUCACCGAUUUGUUCUCUGAGGAACAUGACCUGUAUAAUGAACCUAAAUAUGCCUAAAAUUAGGAUGGCAUGAUCGAAAUGCAUCAAAUUCUCCUAACUAGACAUAUGUGAAUGGUGUUUGCAUGAAUGUAGAAUGCUAUUGUUGAGAAUGAUCCACUUUUUUGCUUAAGUUAUCAUUGCUCGAAGUUUAUUAAGGCUUUAUCACUAACGUGUUACAACGCUUUCUUGCUCGACUGGCGUCUCCAAUUAGUCAGAUUUCCCCUACUGUAAACCUCAAAGUUCAAUCUACUAGGACGUAAAAUUUGUACCAUCAUUCUCCCACUACAACCCGAGGGUAGAAAUAUAUGGCCUCUUCUCAAUCCACUCCUAUCACAAUUCAAGGAUACAGAAUGUAAAAUUCUUUGGCCUUUUACACCAUGCCUAAGGUGUCGCACCAAAGGCUCAUGUGCAAAUGAAGUUUUUCUUCUCCAAGGAAACCUCUUCUCAUUACCUGGUGACCAUUGCUCGCUUGUUUAUUUUAGCUUUUUCACCAACCUGACAUCCUAUCACUUUGCUCGAUCAAUGUUUUUGAUAACAGAAUCCAAAGAGAAAGUCCUAAUUUAGACUUUUCCUUCUUAAAUUUCCAACCUUUAAACUUAGUGCGUUCUAAACAAUAGUCAUGUUUCAGGUUCCUGUAUUAUUUAGAAACUUCUAAAGUAAUAUGCAAAACUUCCCUUGUGAAAGUUUUAUUAGUCCAUUAAUCAUUAUUCCAAUGCAACAUGCUUGUAAAAAGGUCACGACAAUGGAUAAGAAUAAAGUUAGUUUUGAGCAUAGUUCGAAAGGAAUAAAUUAUCAAAAAUAGUAAAGAAGGAUAGCAAAGAAAUUGAUUGAGAAUAUGUAUCUUGGAAAAGAAUGAAGUAUUCCAAGAACAACAAAUUCAAUAGUAUGAAAAUUGGGUGCCCCAGAUAUCACAGCUUGAACUUCUCUGUACAAACUUUCUGAAGACCCUUCUGAGUUUAACAUGUGUUUGAGAGAUCUACAGUACUCUGUCGAUGCCUCAAGAUGUUGCCUACCCUUUCCUAUUGAUCCAGAUCACUACAUGCCCCAAUCUGAUCAAGAUUUGAGUUUUUCUGAUCACAUCAUGCUCCAUUUUGAUCAAUAUUUGAGCCGCCCUUUUCGAGUUUUCAACUCAAAUCCCUUUUGGUCUCAAGGCGCCCUUUGCGGAUUUUCGUAUUGGCCUCUCCUUUUGCUUUUUCUUCUUCUCUUUUUUGAAUUUUUUUUAUUGAAUCUAAACUCGUAGGAUUAAGUGUGUCCUUGUUAUCGACGCUUUUCCAGAUAAGGCCCUCCACAUAAGGUCCUUCCCAGCUUGGGAUGAAGUUCUUUUUAUAUGGGACAGAUCUUCUUCAAUACCAGGUCUCUCUCAAAGAAUUCUCUAGGGCGGACCUUUUUUGUGUAUCAUUUGCUUUUGACGCAUUUGACCAUGAUGGAUAACUUUGAACAUUCCUCUUCAAUCGGAAUUAAUCCAAAAAGUCAGAGAAAAUAUUGUCUUCAAUAGGUAAAAUCGCGAUGAGCCCAAGAGAAAGGUAUUGCCCCGGUAGAGUUUUUUUUUGCGCCAUAUUUUUUUGGACGAUUAAUUGUGAACAAACUGCAAACUUUUGAUAUUCUGCUGUUGUUCAAAUUUAGUACAUUGUCAGAUAUGAUCCUUUUGGCGUUUCAUACUGACAUAUGAUUCUUCAAGAAUUUGCUAACUGUCGACUUUAUGACAUUAGCAUACGAAGCAGCUUCCACCCAUUUAGUAAAGUAAUUGACGAUCACAAAGAUGAAUUGAUGACCGUUAGACUCUUUUGGCGAGAUCGACCAAAUAACCUUCAUGCCCCACAUAAGGAGAAGUCAUAUAUCCCAAUAAUUUUUGUAGGGUAAAAUCCAUUUCUCGACUUGUUCUACCAUCCUUAACAAGUUCAGAAAUAGACUACAAUCUAUGUCAUCUUCAAAGUUAUGAGAUCCUUCUAAACACAUAUCUCACUCAAAAGGAGAUUCUAAGUCUGUAGCAACGUCACUCAUGUCAUUGAGAUCUGGGGACCCAUAGUAAAUGCAAAAGAAUAUACAAAAGAAUGUGUGAAUUUACGAAUAAUUAUUUGUACAAUAUAAUUAUGAAUGAAAGAAUGAUGUGGAAGAAAAUCCAAAAGAAUGAAAGAAUAAUUAUUCUCAAAGAAUGAAAGAAUAUUGGCUAAAAAAUAAAUGUAAAGAUGUAUUUUAUUAGAAUAAUGAUGUUUAGACAUGAGCCUAUUUCACAAAAGAAGUCCUAUCAUUUUAAGGCUAAAAACAACAAGAAUGUUCUGAACAUUACUCUAAAUAAGCUCUAAAAACUACAGAGAUUUCUUCCGCAAUCCAAUUAUUUUGAACACUCCCAAAUUUAUGAGGGCGGACAUCUAACAAGGUCCCUUUUCAAUUGUGUCAUUGAUGUGAACGCUUCCCAACACUUCUUCAUUCAUUGCAUUCUCCCCAUUAUCAAUAUGGUUGGGGUAGCAGAUUUUCUGCAUUGAAUGAGUCAUCCAACUUGACAAUACCCAUGUUGAUGAAAUUUUCAACUAGCUUUUUGAAGGUAAUGCAAUUCUCUAUUAAGUGCCCCGUAAUACCCGCAUGGUAAUCACAUUGUGCGUUCGCAUCAUACCACUUGGGAUACGGAGGUUAUGGAGGUUUUAAGUAGGAAGGGGCAACAAUGUGUACAUUAAACAAGUUUUAAUACAGCUUCUUAUACGACAUCGGAAUUGGUGUGAAUUGGAGCUUCUCAGUACCUUGUUUCACUCCAAGUUCUUAUCUUAAUGAACCUUGCUGAUUAGCAAUCGAUUUGCUAUACGUAUUCACGCUAUUCACCUCAUUUUCUCUUUCAUUUGAGGCUUGCUUUCUGUUAUUUCCUCCAACAUCAAUCUUUCCACUCCUUAUGGCGCUUUCAAUCAUUUCACCGUUCAUGACUAUGUCAGAGAAGCUCUUUGUGGCACUUCCUAACAUAUAUGUGAUGAAUGGGGCUUUCAAUGUAUUUAUAAAGAGUACUGUCAUUUCUCUUUCCAAGAGCGGUGGCUGAACUUGGACGGCGACCUCCCUCCAUCUCUGUGCGUAUUGCCUAAAACUUUCACCGGGUUUCUUUUCCAUGUUUUGUAGAGUGAUUCUAUCAGGUACCAUGUCGGUCACAUGAUUGUACUACUUUAUGAAUGCCUGUAUUAAAUCUCUCCAUGAAUUAAUCUUGGUACGGCUCAAUUGAUUGUACCACUUGGAUGCUGCCCCUGUGAGGCUAUCCUGGAAGUAAUGUAUUAGCAGUUGGUCGUUAUUGACAUACCCAGUCAUUCUUCUGCAAAACAUGGUAACAUGAGCUUCGGGGCUACUAGUUUCGCUGUACUUCUCAAACUUUGGCAUUUUGAAUUUGUAAGGGAGUACUAAAUCCGGAACCAGACUUAAUUCUUUAGCAUUCAUCCCAUAGUAGCUCUCAGCACAUUCCAUCGCUCUAAAUUUCUCUUCCAGCCAUUUGCACUUUUCCUCUAGCUGUUUUGGUAAUUCAUCAUUCAUUUUCUCCUUCCCAGCUGUUUCAUCGAAGUCAGGGAUAGCAGGAUUAACAAGGUUGGCUCCGGGGUUAGAGCCUGAUCCAGUAUGAAAAUUCAUUGUAGCGCCAUCCUGAAAUUGCUGAGGCUUAAUGGUGACAGAGGACUUGCACGGAUAUAUCUCAACUUGCUGAGGGGUAACGCCUGAAGGAUAGACAGGUCCCUCACUGUCUCUUUCUUCUACGUUAAGCACAUAGCUUUUUCCUUUAUCAAUUCCUCCAGUCAACAACUGAGUCAACUUAGCCAUCAUAGUCCCUUGAGAUUCCAUUAUUUUAUCCGUUAUUUUUUGUUGAAUCUUCUUAAGCUACUCAUCCAUUUGUUGUUGAAGCUGAUCUUGCAUUUCUUUUUGGAACUGUUCUAGUUUUUGGUCCAUGUCUUUAGUCUUUGAUUGAGUACCGUAGCGAUGUUUGGUAGGUUGGUUGGUUUCUAGAUUAACUGAGGAAUGAUUUUAAUCGAUUAAAUUCUUUUAAUAUUUUUUAAUGCAUAUGAAGCAAUGCAAUCCAUGAAAUGAAUGCAAAAAAGAUGUUGAUUCUGAUUCAAUUACAUUUAGAAAACUUUACUAGAAAGUAAAUUUCUUUACAUAAAGCAGAUACAUGUACGACCAUUCCCUUCUAUUCCAAGAGACAAUAUCGAUCUUUUUCUUCAUCCGCAUGUUGAAGAUAAAUCCCGCUAAUUUCCAAUAGAUGCCACUGCUAGCUCUCGUUUUCUUGAUCCUGGUCACGAUCCACCGUUUUCCUAUUCUCGUAAUGCCCAUAAGCUUCUUUAAGGGAAUUAGAACGUCGAAAGCUGUUAGACAAUCAUCUUAAAUCCUCAGGCCAUGAAGUAAAGUCACAAACUCUUCUAUCACCCUUCUUGUGUUUCUCAGAAUAUAUUCAAUCAGCCGUAUUAUUAUCCACUUUAUCAAGAAACCCUUUUUCCAUGAUAAGCUUUCUAUCUAGUAACAAAAUAUGAAUCGACGCCUUUUACACAAAAAGUCGGUAUCAAAUAUAAACAUAGAAUAUAAUAGUAAAAUAUCUACUCGGAUAUCUACUAGGGUUUAGUAUAGUUCUACCUAGGGUGGAUUCCUAAGGUUCAUUAUAUGAGGUUUGGCUUCUAGAGCAAGGUACCCGAACUAGCAGAUUCCUCAAUCCUCACCCAUUAUAGGCUAAUAUGGACCGAGUUCAGUUCAGGGGAAUACGUUUCCCUAUGGUUACAUGGAGAUGAAAAUCUCACGAAGACAUAGGUACGGAUGUAUCCCGGAAGCGGUCCACUACCCUGCACGGAGGUGAAAACCUCAUGAAGGACUAGUUUCUCGCUCCCACUUAAAGGGUAAAAUCAUUCAACUCAUGUAAUGUGUAGUGCAAACAAUACUUAAAUACAUUAAGCAAGAAGAUAAUGAAUGCAAAAAGAUAUCAUGAAAAUUUUUAAAAAAAUACUUUCUCGACCAUAAGACAAAAAUUAAUCAGCUUUGUGGCUCGACUCUCUUAUUCUAAAAAAAAUGUCCCCAGUGGAGUCGCCAAGCUGUCGAAACCAUUUUUUGAAAACAAAAAAAAAAUUAGUUGUCGACUUUUAAAAAACAAAAAUUGGGAGUCGCCACCAAUCUUUUAUUGAGGUGUGAUUGGAGCAGCUAAAAAGAAAGCUUUGGUUUACGAGUUUUAGAAAAAUGGAUUCGGGAGUCGGUUACGUACGAGGAAGGAUUAGCACCCUCGUAAUGCCCAAAAAUUGGUACCAAAUUGAUUAAUUAAUGCCUUAAAGUCGAGAGUUAAAAAAUGCGAUCCUUAAUUAAAUUAUUUAUUAAGACUUUCUCAUUUUGAAAAAAAAAAAGAAAAAUAUCACACCCAAUGCGUUAGGGCACAACAUUUUAUUCUCUUCAAGAUGAGUUAGUCCAGAAAACUCGUGUGAUAAAGUUUAAGAAAACAUCUAAUUGUUUAAAAUUUAUGAAGAAAUCGCAGCCCAAUACGUUAGGGCACAAUUUCCUCAAAUCCCAAACAUUCAAUAUUUCCUUUAUUUUUCUUAAAAUAUCCUUGUCUCGAGAAAUCAACAUGUCACAUCCAAUACGUUAGGACACAACAUAUUGAAUCCCCAAUGACAAGUUUUAUUUUGUUUGAUUAAAGAGCAAUUCUCGAUUGUUAGAUUUAACGAAGAAAAUCGGAACCCAAUACGUCAGGGCUCAAUCUUCUCGAAAAUCCUAAAUACGAGUAUUAUCUCUAUUUUGAAAAAUUCCAUUUUUAGAUUCGAGUAAAAAGAUGCCGUAAUGUUCUGUUGAAUGUAUGAAUAAAUGCCUCUUAAACAAAUAUCAAUAAUAAAUACAACAAUUGCAUAGAAAUAAUAUGAAUAAAUAAAUAAAUAAAAAUAAUGACAUGCAAAAUAUCAAAUAAAUGAGCAAAAUAAUAAUAAUAAUAAUAAUAAAAUAUGAAAACAUAAAUUGAUAAACAAAUGAUUGAAAUAAACAAAAAAACAUAAAGAAUAAGAGACACAUAACAUAUACAUUGAAAUUAUGGAGGAAAAAAACAAACACGUGAUUUACAUAUAAAAUUUUGGAAUUAUAAAAUUUAUACAAACAAAAUACAUAAUACAAUAAAGAAAAAUAUAUAAAUAAAUAUAUAUAAAUUAUAAAAUAUGCGUAAAAAAUAUAAAUAUGUAUUUAAGCAUUUUCGAAAAUAAAAACAUAGAUAUAUACGUGUAUAUAUAUAUAUAUAUAUAUAUAUAUAAAGAUAAAAAAAAAUAUUCAUUAGAAAAAUAUAUAAAUAUAUACAUGUACAUAUAUAAAAAAUAAUUAUAUACAUAUAUAUAGAUUAUAAAAAAAGAUAAUUACAUAUAUAUAUAUAAAAACAAAUAAUAAUAAUUACAUAUAUUGAAAUUAAUUAAUUUUAAAAAAUAUAUAAAAAAAUUAUGAAGAAUAAUAUAAGAAAACAUACGUAUAUACAUAUUUAUCAAAGUAAAAAAAUAAAAGUGUAUAUAUAUGUAUAUAAAAGUUAUGCAAAUAGAAUAAUAAUAAAAAAUAUAUAAAAUAUGUAUAUGUAUUUAAGACAUUUAAAAUAUAUACAUAUAUAUAUUAUAAAAGACAUAUGCGUGUAUAUAUGUAGGUACAAUAAUAAUAAUAAUAUAUAAUAUAAUAAUAAUAAUUAAUACAAUAAGAAUGUAAAAAUAAUUAAUUUAAUAAUAAAUAACUAAUAACAAAUAGAGGACUAAAUUGAAACAAAAGUAAGACAUGUGGUUAAAUUCAAAAGAAAUAAAAAAAAAGUUUAAACACAUUUUGAAAAACAAUGGGGAUCAAAAGCGUAAAUAGACCAUCAAAGGAAAAUGCAGGCUCCAAACGGUAAGCUUUGUAUGCUACAUAAAGGUCACUUAAAACCUAAAUAAAAAAACCUAAGUUAUUUCUCUCCUGCGUGCGUCGUUUCUUCCCAAAACUCCUCCUUUUUCCUUCAUUUCGCACAGAACAGGGAAGGGCUUCGAGAGCACAUCACCCAGGUAUAGUUUCCCCUUUAUUUCUCUUUGAUUUAUGAAGAAAAGAACAAAGGAAAACAAAAGAAAAAGGAAUGAGAUCAAGGAAAAAAAGAAAAAAAAACAUUCAAAUUGCUCUUUAAUUCUCUGUUUUUUUUAAAUAGGUUUUGAUAUCAUCCCCCCUUCGUUCCAAAAAUAAAAAAAAAGGU